Long non-coding RNA from Equus caballus (horse), 512 nucleotides. RefSeq lists it as uncharacterized. The record is from RefSeq and is a predicted model, not a curated record. NCBI's taxonomy places the organism in Eukaryota, Metazoa, Chordata, Mammalia, Perissodactyla, Equidae.
AUGGAAAAAUGAGAAGGCGGAAAUAGUUUUCAACAAACUUGCCUGCAAAGGAAGAACUGGAGACUUAGUUUAUCAAAAGACUUCAGUUGUGGAGGAAAGAUGAGUCUUCUCUCCCCCAACAUUACUGGUGUCCUUUAAGAACACAAUUGGAAACAUUGGUUAUAAUACCAAAGGCUUUGACUGGAAUAUCAUAUUUGAGAGAGAACUACACUGACUGUGAUAUUACCAGAUAGCUUUAAGAAACAAAGGUUAACUUUAUGGAACAAAUAAAGCCACUUGAAAAUAUUGGUCUGGUACCUUGCUCAUAUGGUUCCCAGCAACUUUACCAGAAUUUAUCUCAGCACAGCAAGGAGAGCACAAAACAGAAUCUCCAACUUCAAUAAAACCAGAGACAUCUGUUACCUCAAACUACAAUAUGUAAAGCAAGUAAAGGAGUAAAAAUUGAUUUAGCAAAGUGCAAAAAACUGAAAUAGAAGUCUUUGCAGAGAGAAACACUAUUGUAAAAUAAACAA